UUUUAUGGAGAGUUUGAUCCUGGCUCAGAGUGAACGCUGGCGGCGUGCCUAAUACAUGCAAGUCGAACGAUGAAGCUUCUAGCUUGCUAGAGUGCUGAUUAGUGGCGCACGGGUGAGUAACGCAUAGGUCAUGUGCCUCUUAGUUUGGGAUAGCCAUUGGAAACGAUGAUUAAUACCAGAUACUCCCUACGGGGGAAAGAUUUAUCGCUAAGAGAUCAGCCUAUGUCCUAUCAGCUUGUUGGUAAGGUAAUGGCUUACCAAGGCUAUGACGGGUAUCCGGCCUGAGAGGGUGAACGGACACACUGGAACUGAGACACGGUCCAGACUCCUACGGGAGGCAGCAGUAGGGAAUAUUGCUCAAUGGGGGAAACCCUGAAGCAGCAACGCCGCGUGGAGGAUGAAGGUUUUAGGAUUGUAAACUCCUUUUGUUAGAGAAGAUAAUGACGGUAUCUAACGAAUAAGCACCGGCUAACUCCGUGCCAGCAGCCGCGGUAAUACGGAGGGUGCAAGCGUUACUCGGAAUCACUGGGCGUAAAGAGCGCGUAGGCGGGAUAGUCAGUCAGGUGUGAAAUCCUAUGGCUUAACCAUAGAACUGCAUUUGAAACUACUAUUCUAGAGUGUGGGAGAGGUAGGUGGAAUUCUUGGUGUAGGGGUAAAAUCCGUAGAGAUCAAGAGGAAUACUCAUUGCGAAGGCGACCUGCUAGAACAUUACUGACGCUGAUUGCGCGAAAGCGUGGGGAGCAAACAGGAUUAGAUACCCUGGUAGUCCACGCCCUAAACGAUGGAUGCUAGUUGUUGGAGGGCUUAGUCUCUCCAGUAAUGCAGCUAACGCAUUAAGCAUCCCGCCUGGGGAGUACGGUCGCAAGAUUAAAACUCAAAGGAAUAGACGGGGACCCGCACAAGCGGUGGAGCAUGUGGUUUAAUUCGAGGAUACACGAAGAACCUUACCUAGGCUUGACAUUGAGAGAAUCCGCUAGAAAUAGUGGAGUGUCUAGCUUGCUAGACCUUGAAAACAGGUGCUGCACGGCUGUCGUCAGCUCGUGUCGUGAGAUGUUGGGUUAAGUCCCGCAACGAGCGCAACCCCCUUUCUUAGUUGCUAACAGGUCAUGCUGAGAACUCUAAGGAUACUGCCUCCGUAAGGAGGAGGAAGGUGGGGACGACGUCAAGUCAUCAUGGCCCUUACGCCUAGGGCUACACACGUGCUACAAUGGGGUGCACAAAGAGAAGCAAUACUGCGAAGUGGAGCCAAUCUUCAAAACGCCUCUCAGUUCGGAUUGUAGGCUGCAACUCGCCUGCAUGAAGCUGGAAUCGCUAGUAAUCGCAAAUCAGCCAUGUUGCGGUGAAUACGUUCCCGGGUCUUGUACUCACCGCCCGUCACACCAUGGGAGUUGUGUUUGCCUUAAGUCAGGAUGCUAAAUUAGCUACUGCCCACGGCACACACAGCGACUGGGGUGAAGUCGUAACAAGGUAACCGUAGGUGAACCUGCGGUUGGAUCACCUCCUUUCUAGA
Molecule: ribosomal RNA, 1510 nt
Filed under: Helicobacter pylori
Lineage: Bacteria; Pseudomonadati; Campylobacterota; Epsilonproteobacteria; Campylobacterales; Helicobacteraceae
Description: bacterial SSU rRNA
Rfam family: Bacterial small subunit ribosomal RNA
Source: RNAcentral